RNAcentral lists this ribosomal RNA (523 nucleotides) under uncultured bacterium. Its description in RNAcentral is "bacterial SSU rRNA". It matches the Rfam family "Bacterial small subunit ribosomal RNA", at positions 355 to 896 of the family's 1533-position model. The record is from RNAcentral.
UGGGGAAUCUUGGACAAUGGGCGAAAGCCUGAUCCAGCCAUGCCGCGUGAGUGAAGAAGGCCUUAGGGUUGUAAAGCUCUUUCAGCGGGGAAGAUAAUGACGGUACCCGCAGAAGAAGCCCCGGCUAACUUCGUGCCAGCAGCCGCGGUAAUACGAAGGGGGCUAGCGUUGUUCGGAAUUACUGGGCGUAAAGCGCGCGUAGGCGGACUGGUCAGUCAGGGGUGAAAGCCCGGGGCUUAACCUCGGAACUGCCUUUGAUACUACCAGUCUAGAGUCCGGCAGAGGUGAGUGGAAUUCCUAGUGUAGAGGUGAAAUUCGUAGAUAUUAGGAAGAACACCAGUGGCGAAGGCGGCUCACUGGGCCGAGACUGACGCUGAGGCGCGAAAGCGUGGGGAGCAAACAGGAUUAGAUACCCUGGUAGUCCACGCCGUAAACGAUGGAUGCUAGCCGUUGGACAGCAUGCUGUUCAGUGGCGCAGCUAACGCAUUAAGCAUCCCGCCUGGGAAGUACGGCCGCAAGGCUA